UUGCCAGCCGCCGCGGUUAUACGAAAGGCUCAAGUUGAUAAACUUCGGCGUAAAGUGUGGUUAAGGAAAUUUUUCAACUAAAGCCGAACGCCUAUAAAAGCAGUGAUACGCUUAUUAAGGCAUGAAGCCCCUCUACGAAAGUGGCUUUAUAAACCCUGAAUCCACAAAAGCUAUGAAACAAACUGGGAUUAGAUACCCCACUAUGCUUAGCCAUAAACAUUGAUAGAAUACUACAUAUUUCUAUCCGCCUGGGAAUUACGAGCAUUAGCUUAAAACCCAACGGACUUGGCGG
Molecule: ribosomal RNA, 292 nt
Filed under: Pampus argenteus (silver pomfret)
Lineage: Eukaryota; Metazoa; Chordata; Actinopteri; Scombriformes; Stromateidae
Description: 12S ribosomal RNA
Rfam family: Bacterial small subunit ribosomal RNA
Source: RNAcentral